AAGUCGUAACAAGGUUUCCGUAGGUGAACCUGCGGAAGGAUCAUUAUCGAGUUUUGAACGCGGGUUGUCGCUGGUCCCCUCCUUACACGAGAAGGGGGCAUGUGCACGCCUGGGUCAAUCCACUCUUCCAACCCCUGUGCACUUGUUGUAGGUUCAGGUCGGACGGUCGACUCUUGGUCGUCGACUCGAAAGCUUGGCCUAUGUUUUCUUACGAACGCUUCAGUCAUAGAAUGUAAAACAUCGCGGAUAACGCAUUUUAAAUACAACUUUCAGCAACGGAUCUCUUGGCUCUC
This 293-nucleotide unclassified non-coding RNA is filed under the name air metagenome. RNAcentral describes it as "partial contains small subunit ribosomal RNA, internal transcribed spacer 1, and 5.8S ribosomal RNA". The stretch from base 1 to 46 matches the Rfam family "Eukaryotic small subunit ribosomal RNA", at positions 1786 to 1831 of the family's 1831-position model. The record is from RNAcentral.